Molecule: long non-coding RNA, 1095 nt
Filed under: Felis catus (domestic cat)
Lineage: Eukaryota; Metazoa; Chordata; Mammalia; Carnivora; Felidae
Description: lncRNA (ENSFCAG00000052726.1)
Source: RNAcentral
GAAGGAAGGAAGGAAGGGGAGGGAGGAAGGAAAGAAGGGAGGGAAGGGGAAAGAAAGAGAAAGAAAGAAAGAAAAAGAAAGAAAGAAAGAGAAAAAGAAAGAGAAAGAAAAAGAAAAAGAAAGAAAGAAAGAAAGAAAGAGAAAGAAAGAAAAAGAAAGAAAGGGAGAGAGAAAGAAAGAAAGGAAGGAAGGAAGGAAGAAGGAAGGAAGGAAGAAAAGAAAAAGAAAGAAAAAGAAAAGAAAGAAAGAAGAAAAAAAGAAAGAGAAAGAAAGAAAGAAAGGGAGAGAGAAAGAAAGAAGAAAGAAAGAGAAAAAGAAAGAAGAAAGAAAGAAAGAAAGAAGAAAAAAAGAAAGAGAAAGAAAGAAAGGGAGAGAGAAAGAAAGAAGAAGAAAGAGAAAAAGAAAAGAAAGAAAGAAAGAAAGAAAGAGAAAAAGAAAAAGAAAGAAAGAAAGGGAGAAAGAAAGAAAGAAAGAGAAAAGAAAGAAGAAAGAAGAAAGAAAGAAAGAAGAAAGAAAAAGAAAAAGAAAGAGAAAGAAAGAAAGGGAGAAAGAAAGAAAGAAAGAAGAAAGGAAGGAAGAAAGAAAGAAAGAGAAAGAAAAAGAAAAAGAAAGAAAAAGAGAAAGAAAGAAAGGGAGAAAGAAAGAAAGAAAGAAAGAAAGGAAAAGAGAGAGAGGAAGGAAGGAAGGAAGGAAGGAAGGAAGACAGAGAAAGGAAGGAAGGAAGGAAGAAAGAAAGAAGGAAGAAAGAAAUCCAAGCCAAGCCAAGCCAAGCAAGAAAAAACCCCACUCUGGCCUGCCCAUGGGGAAGUGACUAGAGAGACUUCUGGUCAGCAUGGCGGCCUGCAUCCAGUUGGAGCUCCCCUCCUACUCCACAACCCGGGAGCAAGUCAGAGGAGCCGUGAGGGAGGAUGGAGGGGAGGGAAAUGCCCUCCUGGAGGCCCCAGCUUUAUGCUCAUUAACCCGCCCACAGGCAUGGGGGGGAGGGUGUCUGGUGACCAAGGGGUGUUUACAGGUUGCGGUAAAAGUCAUUUUAUGGCUGGGGGUGCAGGCAGGAAAUUGGGGUUUUAUGGUUCACUAAGCAUCAAUAGCAAUUAA